GGUGGGAGGCGCCCCGCCCGCAGCUCGGCCCCGGCCCUGCGCCCCGCGGAUCUGAGCGCAGGUGAUUCUCUUAAGCAGCCAGAGAACUAUCCGGCCAUGUGCCCACCAGUUACAGACGGAAGAGUCUGAUGGAGGAGAUGUGACCAUUUGCUGUUGACAGAUUUUCACGUCCAUUAUUUUUUCUGCUGCUGAGAGCCCUCUUUGGAGCCUCAUUCUACAGUUGGAGGAGUGAGGCAAAAGUGAUCAGCAGACUCCCCAGAAGACACAGCCAGGAUACACAGGGCUGGGGUUUAGAAGCUGCAGCCUCCGACUCCCCGUGCCAGUGCUCUCCCGAGCUAGACUCCAGGAGCCUGGCCUGAGGGCCACCUGGGCAGGCUGCCAACGCCGGGAACUCACGGACAGGCACAUUGUGAGCUCCAGGAAGCCGUCCGCCGUUCCUAGACCAGUCCACAGAGCCAGAGGGCCAGCCUGCCUCAAAUAUGAUGGGUGGAGACAGGAACUGAGAACACUACUUUCCCAGAUCGUAGCAGCUCCAGGCCAGGCCCGCCGGCUUUCCUGGGCACCGAGGGGCCUGAGCCUUGGCCACGCCUUCCCUUGUUGGCCUUGGCGCUCUCGUCCUCAGUCUGGCAGUCCCCCUGCCCCCCACCAGCUAUUCUCCAGUGUUUUACAGGCUCUUGGCAAUGACAUCUAUUUAACCUGCUUCCCAGAAAACAGGGUGGUUGGGCAGGCCGACUGCGCCAGCACCUUGGUGGGAAACAGGGCAGUGGACCUCAGCUCGGGCUUUUCUUGCCUUGGGGCCGGGUUGGGAGGUGGCCCUAAGCGGCCUUGGCUUACCUGGGUCAGAAAUAACCUCAGCUCAACUCACAGCCUAGAGCAGUCAGGCUGAGGCAAAAGCUUUGAGCUCAUGGAGCUGGGGACAGGGGAGGGAUAAGCCUUUGCCCAGGAGUCUGAUCAGGGGCAGUCAUUUAGCUGGGGGCCUUGGGUAAAGCCUCCUCACCCUCCCCGACUCUUGCCUCAUUUGUUGGAUGGGCAUGAUAGUGCCCUUUUAGACAUGUGUCUGAAUACGUGGCUUCCGAAUGCAAAAGCAAAGUCGUUUCCCACUUCUCUCUGCUUCCAGGAGGACACUUGAGCAGAGAGCCCUGGGAGGGGUCUGGCACGGAGAAGAUGCUCACUUCAUGCAGUUGCACCGCUCAGGAAGCGAGGUUUGGGUCUCAGUGUGUUGGAAAGGGCCUUCCGUCCUUAUCUCUGCCAAGAUGGCCUUUCCUUCCGCUUCCUCUCUGGCUCUCCUGCCCUGGCCGGACCCUAUAGGGUUCGUGGUUCUGGCUCAAGAUGCUGCAGUCCUCUCGGGCCCGGCCCACCGAGAUCCAGAGCCCAGGGAGCCUCCUUCCCCUCCUGCAUGUUCGUCCUGCAAGUCCAGACACCGUCAACUCCAAGGCGUUUCCCCUGGGCCUGGGCCAGAGUAGCUGCGGCCGCGCUCCUCCCUCCCCCACCAGCCUCCUUGGGUGCAGACAGCCCAGCACAGGCAGGAAGGGCCUUCUGUUUGCCUUGGCUGGUGGGGAAGAGAUUAGUGCUCGCUCUCUGAUUUGACUCUUGAUUCUAACUAGCAGACAGGCCCGUGACGUUGAAGAAAAACACUUGAGCCUUGAAUGAGGUUGGGCCCUGGUCCUGAUGCCUGGCCCCUGGAGAGGUGUCUGGAGGUAGAAAUGGGUGAUAACACCACCCCUUGGGUAUGUGGAGAAAUGUGGUGUGGCUGCCUGUCCGCUUUCCCUACCCACAGCAUCCAUGAUUCUUAUAAUGCCUCUUCUCUGUUGGAAGGUCACUUGUCCCCAAUGUCAACACAGAGACUCCCCUUGGGAGAUUCUGCAGUAACUACGGGGAAAGAGGCAUUCGUUUUUUGUGGGAUUUGCCAGGUUGAUGGACCUGCUAGUGGCCAUCCUGUUCUCUGUUUGAGGUCGAAGCCAACAAAGAGGAAAAAGCUCAGAGAUGAAGAGAAUAUGCUGUCCAGGUAUCCAUAAGCUUCUGGAUCCAGCUAUGCCUGAAGCUGACUAUACUCAGGAUUAACCUGAUUAUAUGAGCCAAUGCAUUUCCUCUUUGCUAAAAUUAUCCUAAGUUGGGUUUCUGUCAUAGAAAGGGUCCUAAUAAAGCAGUGCUUUUCUUUGGUCUCAUAAAAACUUUGAGGUAUACUUUGCAUGCAAUAAAAUCUACCCAUUUGAAGUGCCCAA
Suricata suricatta (meerkat) is the source of this 2222-nucleotide long non-coding RNA. RefSeq lists it as uncharacterized. NCBI's taxonomy places the organism in Eukaryota, Metazoa, Chordata, Mammalia, Carnivora, Herpestidae. The record is from RefSeq and is a predicted model, not a curated record. The transcript has 3 exons.